AUUGAACGCUGGCGGCAUGCCUUACACAUGCAAGUCGAACGGUAACAGGUUAAGCUGACGAGUGGCUCACGGGUGAGUCAUGUAUCGGAAAGUGCCCAGUCGUGGGGGUUACCUGCUGGAAAGAGCAGCUAACACCGCAUAAGACCUGAGGGUGAAUGCGGGGGAUCGCAGGACCUUGCGAGGUUGGAGCGGCCGGUAUGGGAUUAGGUGGUUGGUGAGGUAAAGGUUCACUAGGCGGAUGAUCGGGAGUUGGUCUGAUAGGACGCCCAGCCACAGGGGGGCUGAGCCACGGCCCUUGCGCCUACGGGAGGCAGCAGUGGGGAAUGUUGGGCAAUGGUCGCAAGCCUUAUCCAGCCAUGCCACGUGCGAGAAGACGGCCUUCGGUUUGUAAUCCGCUUUUUUCAGGGAAGAAAAGGUUCUGGCUAAGACCUGGGACUCGUGACGGUACCUGAUGAAUAAGCACCGGCUAACUACGUG
Molecule: ribosomal RNA, 477 nt
Filed under: uncultured bacterium
Lineage: Bacteria
Description: partial 16S ribosomal RNA
Rfam family: Bacterial small subunit ribosomal RNA
Source: RNAcentral